This 443-nucleotide ribosomal RNA is filed under the name uncultured bacterium. RNAcentral's name for it is "partial 16S ribosomal RNA". It matches the Rfam family "Bacterial small subunit ribosomal RNA", at positions 338 to 795 of the family's 1533-position model. The record is from RNAcentral.
CCUACGGGAGGCAGCAGUGGGGAAUAUUGGGCAAUGGGCGCAAGCCUGACCCAGCAACGCCGCGUGAAGGAAGAAGGCUUUCGGGUUGUAAACUUCUUUUAUUAGGGACGAAACAAAUGACGGUACCUCAUGAAUAAGCCACGGCUAACUACGUGCCAGCAGCCGCGGUAAUACGUAGGUGGCAAGCGUUAUCCGGAUUUACUGGGUGUAAAGGGCGUGUAGGCGGGACUGCAAGUCAGAGGUGAAAAUUAUGGGCUCAACCCAUAAACUGCAUUUGAAACUGGAGUUCGUGAGUGCUGGGUAGGGAGGCGGAAUUCGGGGGGUAGCGGUGAAAUGCGUAGAUAUACGGAAGAACACCAAUGGCGAAGGCAGCCUGCUAAACAGUAACUGACGCUGAGGCUCGAAAGUGUGGGGAGCAAACAGGAUUAGAUACCCGUGUAGUC